CUUGUAUCUCUGCAGCUCCUGCAACGCAGAAAGUAAAUCCAUUUUCAGAGAAUGAAGAGUUGCUUCACUUGAGAACAGAAAGUGUUAAGAACUUGCCAGGAGCAACUUGUGUUCCUGAGAGUGUGCCUUUCUUUGGAAGCUGCAGAACAAUGUGAGGGCAGGACUGUGAUUGGACACCUGCCUCCUCAGCUCUGUGGCAUUUCGCAGACAGCUUAGAGUUGGUGUGGCUGGGUCAUUAAGCCUCAUUCAGUUGAUGUCAGUGGAUGUGGUGCGGACAAGGGGCAUGUCUCUUCCACAGCCUGUCUCCUCUUGGUAAGAUGAAAAGUGUGUAAAGCUCCACGGUCCAUAAACUCAUGACUUACAAUGGGAUUAGUUUAAAAAUGGA
Molecule: long non-coding RNA, 385 nt
Organism: Capra hircus (goat)
Lineage: Eukaryota; Metazoa; Chordata; Mammalia; Artiodactyla; Bovidae
Exons: 3
Source: RefSeq, a predicted model, not a curated record